GGAAUAUGUUGAGCAAACCUGGAGAAGCGUCAGUUCAAGAGAUUAUUGUCAUUGCUGUGGAUCUUUACCUGAUACACUGACUUGGCUCGGGACCAGCACUCCUGUUGUUGGACAGAAAGACAUCAACUCAGCGGACACCAGGAGAGAUGAGUCCUCCAUCACAGAUGGUGUGGUCAGUGAAGAUGGUCGCCUGCAGGUUCAAGCUCAUUGCAUCUCCAACCCACAUCCACUGCCACUGUACUUCAGGGAAGUUAAAGACUUUCUUCUGCACUUACAUUUGGAUCACCUCGAUCCAUGAUAGUCAUUCAGGCAGUAAUGCCUGGACUGGAAACAAGCCAUCCUUAAAACAUUACAACAUUCCAGCUCAUGUGUUGGAAUGAAAAACAAAUGUGUUGUUUAAAUCAGAGACUGCACUUGUGACAGAACAACAAAUAUUUUAUUUUGAUUAUAUAAAUAAUGUAAGUACGAAACAAACUUGUGGUAGACCUAAACUUAUUUUCAGAAUAAUUACAUCUGAGACUUUGUUUCAUUGUGAGAUUAUAACAGUGAUGGCAAUAUAAUUGUUUGUUGUUCAGCAGAACAGUGUCCAGUAUGUUGGCUGUUAUACUUUGUUGUGUUUGAAAAUAAAAGUUGGGCUGAUUUUAA
Maylandia zebra (zebra mbuna) is the source of this 645-nucleotide long non-coding RNA. RefSeq lists it as uncharacterized. The record is from RefSeq and is a predicted model, not a curated record. Lineage: Eukaryota; Metazoa; Chordata; Actinopteri; Cichliformes; Cichlidae.